Molecule: ribosomal RNA, 301 nt
Filed under: uncultured bacterium
Lineage: Bacteria
Description: partial 16S ribosomal RNA
Rfam family: Bacterial small subunit ribosomal RNA
Source: RNAcentral
CAGUCGCCGCGGGAAUACGAAGGGGGCUAGCGUUGUUCGGAUUUACUGGGCGUAAAGGGCGCGUAGGCGGAUUUGUAAGUCAGGGGUGAAAUCCCGAGGCUCAACCUCGGAACUGCCUUUGAUACUGUGGAUCUUGAGUCCGGGAGAGGUGAGUGGAACUGCGAGUGUAGAGGUGAAAUUCGUAGAUAUUCGCAAGAACACCAGUGGCGAAGGCGGCUCACUGGCCCGGAACUGACGCUGAGGCGCGAAAGCGUGGGGAGCAAACAGGAUUAGAUACCCCAGUAGUCCCUGUCUCUUAUAC